AUGAAGCCGGAAUCGCUAGUAAUCGCGGAUCAGAACGCCGCGGUGAAUACGUUCCCGGGUCUUGUACACACCGCCCGUCACACCACGAGAGUUUGUAACACCCGAAGCCGGUGAGGUAACCUUUUAGGAGCCAGCCGUCUAAGGUGGGAUAGAUAAUUGGGGUGAAGUCGUAACAAGGUAGCCGUAUCGGAAGGUGCGGCUGGAUCACCUCCUUU
RNAcentral lists this ribosomal RNA (215 nucleotides) under Carnobacterium divergens. RNAcentral's name for it is "partial 16S ribosomal RNA". It matches the Rfam family "Bacterial small subunit ribosomal RNA", at positions 1320 to 1533 of the family's 1533-position model. Lineage: Bacteria; Bacillati; Bacillota; Bacilli; Lactobacillales; Carnobacteriaceae. The record is from RNAcentral.